AGUUCGAUCAUGGCUCAGAUUGAACGCUGGCGGGAUGUUUACACAUGCAAGUCGAACGGCAGCACGGACUUCGGUCUGGUGGCGAGUGGGCGAACGGGUGAGUAAUGUAUCGGAACGCCUAUAGUGGGGAUAACUACGCGAAAGCGUAGCUAAUACCGUACACAACAUCUUCGGGGGAAAGCGGGGGACCUUCGGGCCCUCGCACUAUUAGAGCGGCCAUAUCGGAUUGAUGUUAGUUGGUGGGGUAACGGCUCACCAAGGCGACGAUCCGUAGCUGGUUUGAGAGGACGACCGGCCACACUGGGACUGAGACACGGCCCAGACUCCUACGGGAGGCAGCAGGGGAAUUUUGACAAUGGGGAAACCCCGAUCCAGCCAUCCCGCGUGCGAUGAAGGCCUUCGGGUUGUGAAGCACUUUUUGGCAGGAAAGAAACGGCACGGGAUAAUACCCCGUGCAACUGACGGUACCCGCAGAACAAGCACCGGCUAACCACGUGCCAGCAGCCGCGGUAAUACGUAGGGUGCAAGCGUUAAUCGGAAUUACUGGGCGUAAAGCGUGCGCAGGCGGUUCGGAAAGAAAGAUGUGAAAUCCCAGAGCUUAACUUUGGAACUGCAUUUUUAACUACCGAGCUAGAGUGUGUCAGAGGGAGGUGGAAUUCCGCGUGUAGCAGUGAAAUGCGUAGAUAUGCGAGGAACACCGAUGGCGAAGUGCAGCCUCUUGGGAGGCACUGACGCUCAUGCACGAAAGCGUGGGGAGCAACAGGAUUAGAUACCCUGGUAGUCCACGCCCAAACGUUGCCAACUAGCUGUUGGGGCCUUCGGCCUUGGUAGCGCAGCUAAUGCGUGAAGUUGACCGCCUGGGAGUACGGUCGCAAGAUUAAACCCUCCAGCGGAAUUGACGGGAUCGCACGCUGCUGGUGGAAUACGAUGAUUAAUUCGAUGCAACGCGAAAACCUUACCUACCCUUGAUAUGGUCUGAACCGAAGAGAUUUUGGGAGUGCUCGCAAGAGAACCGGAACACAGUAAAAGGUAUGGCUGUCGUCAGCUCAGGCCGAGAUGUUGCUGGUCCGCAACGAGCAAACCCUGUCAUUAGUUGCUACGAAAAGGGCACUUAUCGAGACUUGCCGGUGACAAACCGGAGGAAGGUGGGGAUGGACGGCCAAGUCUCAUGGCCCUUAGAGGGUAGGGUCACAUUGGCCGUACAAUGGUCGGGACAGAGGGUCGCCAACUCCGCGAGGGGGAGCCAAUCCAGAAACCCGAUCGUAGUCCGAUCGCAGUCUGCAACUCGACUGCGUGAAGUCGGAAUCACAGUAAUCGCGGAUCAGCAUGUCGCGGUGAAUACGUUCCGGUCUUGUAAAGACACCGCCCGUCACACCAUGGGAGUGGGUUUUUUUACCAGAAGUAGUUAGCCUAACUGCAAGGGAGGGGCGAUUACCACGGUAGGAUCUGGCGAUCAGUGAAGUCGUAACAAGGCAACCUC
Molecule: ribosomal RNA, 1480 nt
Filed under: uncultured Bordetella sp.
Lineage: Bacteria; Pseudomonadati; Pseudomonadota; Betaproteobacteria; Burkholderiales; Alcaligenaceae
Description: partial 16S-23S ribosomal RNA intergenic spacer
Rfam family: Bacterial small subunit ribosomal RNA
Source: RNAcentral